AACGAACGCUGGCGGCAUGCCUAACACAUGCAAGUCGAACGAGACCGUCGGGUCUAGGGGCGCACGGGAGCGUAAGGCGAGGGAACCGGCCCUUAGGGUCGGAAUAACUCCCCGAAAGGGGUGCUAAUAGGGGAUAAAUGCUUCGGACGAAAGAUUUAUUGCAUUAGGAGGGGCCCGCGUGAGAGUAGCAAGUUGGUAGGGUAAAAGCCAUCCAAGGCGGCGCUCCCUAGCUGGUCUGGGAGGAUGACCCACAACACUGGGAACGUCACCCGUCCCAGACCCUCGCGAAUGGCAGCAGUGGUGACUGUGCGACGCUGGGCGAGAGCCUGAUGCUGCAGUGUCGCGUGAGUGAUGUAGUCGUUAGGGUUGUAAAGCUCUGUUGACCGCGAUGAUAAUGACGGUACCGGGAGAAUAAGCGCCGGCUAACUCCGUG
Molecule: ribosomal RNA, 433 nt
Filed under: uncultured bacterium
Lineage: Bacteria
Description: partial 16S ribosomal RNA
Rfam family: Bacterial small subunit ribosomal RNA
Source: RNAcentral